RNAcentral lists this long non-coding RNA (2315 nucleotides) under Medicago truncatula (barrel medic). Its description in RNAcentral is "long non-coding RNA (MTRU_LNC006865)". Lineage: Eukaryota; Viridiplantae; Streptophyta; Magnoliopsida; Fabales; Fabaceae. The record is from RNAcentral.
AACUGUUUACUGUGUGCAAACAUGAGUCUGCGAUUAUGAGAUAUCUCAAAGGUACAAGUGAUUAUGAUGUGUUAUAUAUCCUAAGGAAAAUGACGAAGGAAAUAAACUAAUAGACUAUUGUGACUAAGACAGGUCUAGAGAUCGAGUUGAAAGAAGGAGCAUAAUGGGAUACAUGUCUUGAAUUUUCAAUUCAAAGAAAUGAACAAUUGAAGCAUUGUCAAAAAAAUAAAAUUACAAGUCAGAUUACAUGUAAAAUUGAUAAAAAAAUAAAAUUAAAAAUUAAACAAUGUAAAAUUGAUAAUUAAUAAAUGUAUAUAAAAACUAUUUCAUUUGUCAAUUUUUGUGCAAAUGAAGUCUUUUUUCUUCAGCUGAUCUCACCCUCCCUCCAUCUUCAACAUAUCUAACAAGAAAUCACUCCAUGUGUCAAUAGGUCCAGGCAAGCACCAAUGCACACAAUCAUUAUACAAUGUCACAUUCNAUAACCAUGGUACAUGGUUAAAUCAGGGACAUUUUCUAAGAGACAAUAAUGACAUCCAACAAUUUUUUGUUUCUCAUAGAAUACCAUUGAUCUUGUAAACCAAUGUCCUCCAUUGAGAAUAACAUAGUUAAAAUCUUCAAUUUGAGUUAUCCAAUUUUCAUCUGGCUCAUCAAUGUAAAGAUCGAAGAGUCCAGUUGAACCUGGACCUUUUAAAUCUGAUUCUUUUGAUCUUACCAAAUGGGGUGUCCAAAAAGAGGCCAUUGUGAAAUUGUAGGUUGGGUAGUGCCACCUCAUGAAAUAAUCAUUUUGUGAGUGUGAUACAACUACGGGCCAUUCCACCUGAAAGUAAUAAAGAUUAAUCAAAAAGAUGAAAUUUUGUGGUAAUACUAAUCAUAAUAUAUUUGUAGAAAAAAUAAAUAAAUAACCAACCAUAUAAAUAUAAUCUACCAAAAAUAUAAACAAUGACAUCUAAAGAUAAAAUGUGUAGAUUCUCUUAAAAAUAAGAGUAAAUAUGCAGAUAAUGAAAAGAAGAAAAGGUUAAGGAAAUGCUUUAGUUGUUUGAAAUGCUAUUACUUGUCUUUUUCAUUGUACAAUAAUAAGAUAAGAUAUUAAAAAAUAAAUUAAAGGAAGAUAAUAUAAAGUUAUCAAUCAUGUAAUUUAUUUAAUUUAGCUGAAUUUAUUUGUUAAUUUUUAUUCAUUUAAUAACAAACGACUAAAUCUUGAUGAAUUUAUGUAUAAAGUUAGCUAUAUAAAUUAUGUUGGCUUUGUAGAAAAAGAUAUUAAAAAUUUAAAUUUGAAGUACUAUUUGAAAAAUUCAUUAGAAAGUAAUUUUUGAUAAAUAGAAAUCUAAUAUAUUCUCACGCAGCCUGCCACCCUUAAUUAAAAAAUUAUAGUUUUUUUUUUCUUUUUCUGAAUAAUAUUAAAAUACUCAAAGUUUCAAAUUAAUAUAUUAUUUUUCAAUAAGUAAAGUAAUUUAUCAAAUGAAUAAAACAUCACAUGGAACAUCAACUUGCUAGACAAUCAAACAAGAAAGUGAGUACAAGCACAAGUUUUCACCACUCCAAAACAAAUACACCACUUUCAAAUUAGGAUUGCUCUCUUUAUUCCCAAUCUAGGUACUGUAGCACCUUGAAACUCAAACUUGAGCCAAGCUUUUCAAAUUAUUUUAUGAUUAAUUAACUGAAUAACAUAACCUUUUAAACAAUUCCUUUUAGCCUACUUUAUUAUUUUAAGCCAUGCUUUUCUGUUCCCAAGUGAAAAAGAAAAAAAAACCCUGCAUGCAUGUUACAAACUUGGAAAAUCCAGCACAUAGUAUUGUUUACAUGUGAAUUUUUCCGCAUAAGACACACAAUAUGAUGACUAAUCUCAUUAAUAAUGCUGCCAAUAAUACAUAUCUAAAUAUCUAAAUAAAAUAAUUGAGUGGUCCCCUCACGUAACAUCUAGGAUUCCUUUCAAACUAAUUAACACUAAUUAUGUGGACUUUUGUUUUCAUUUCCUUCCAUGCAAAAUAAUAUUGCAUUAAGUACAUGUACAAAGAAGAGAUUAAAUUUCUUAUAUUGUUGGUGUAGACAAAUUUAUACAUGGAUAAAUCAUAAUCAUUUGCAUGUGUGACUUUAAAAAUAGUUAUACUUAAAGUCAAAUAUUUUUAAUGAUUUUAUAGUUAUGAAUAGUUAAUAGUAGUAUAGAAAUUUUUUAUAUUGGCUAUGUAUAUAAAUUAAUUUAUGCAAACAAUGGUUAAUUAGCAUCCAGCUAGACAUGCACAAAGCAUAUUGCUUAUUGCUUAUUUUUCUACUCUAAGGAAUGUGACCUCUCAACCAUUUCUAUUAGUUUAGUUUAG